Molecule: long non-coding RNA, 2173 nt
Organism: Limulus polyphemus (Atlantic horseshoe crab)
Lineage: Eukaryota; Metazoa; Arthropoda; Merostomata; Xiphosura; Limulidae
Exons: 3
Source: RefSeq, a predicted model, not a curated record
CCUAGGUCCAUGCUGCGCAGGCGUAGUAGGACAGAAGAUGCCCAGGUAUUGUUUGUUUGGUGAUACAGUGAACACAGCGUCUAGAAUGGAGUCUACAGGGGAACCUCUCAAGAUUCAUGUGAGUCCAAACACUAAAGCAGUUCUUGAUCACUUUGGAAACUUCAUGUUGGUACCUCGAGGUGAAGUUGAAGUUAAAGGAAAAGGUAAAAUGGAAACUUUCUGGUUGCUCGAAGAGAUCCAAACGGAUGAUUCCAUCAAUAAUAGUAAAGCACAGCAUAGACUCUUAUAAGUAUUUAGGAACGAGGUGUGGGUUUUGGUUUUGUUAUAGAUACCACAUGGUUGGAUAACACCGAAGAAGUUAACGUGGAUGACGUCGUGGAAUAUUCGUGCACUAUAGUUUGUAAACGUCUACGUUUCGACUUCAUGUUAUUGGAGAAAACGCAAGAGGUCGAAUAUGGAUUUAUUUCUGUAGUAGUUUAGUGAAACCCGUUGUGUAGCGUGAUGUAAAUAUUCAUAUAUACAUUAAGAAGGAACUCAAACAUCUUAACUAAGCUUCAAUACUUUAUAUAUAUAUGUCUUUGUUUUGUAUGUAGGCUUCACAGUUAUUUAAUUAUAUCGCCUUUUUGUAGCAUGUUGAAGAUAUGUAUUUAUAUUUACGGUUUUCUAUAUAAUGUAAUUAUCAACACAUCUGAGUGUCAGAUCAUAUAAACUGAAAAUCGCACAUGUUUUAUUUUUCAUUUAGAGGUCGAUAAAAGUAUUGAAUCUGGUUUAUUGGUUAAGUUGUUUGUUCUUUUUUUUAGGAAACUAAUUUGAGGGGAUUUAAAAGCAUAAUAAUUAAUUUAGUUACUACUAAGCCUACUGGACUAAAGAACAAAGCAUUGUUGUAUUAAAGUAACAGUGGAAGAAUACAAGUACUUGCAGGAAUUCUGUAUUGAAACAAAUCAUACUGUUGCGUCAGCGAGGUCACGUGACUAGUAACUGGAGGUGUAACAAUACGUUAAACAGUAACAAAGACAAGUAAUAUAUACUUUAUGUAAGCUUAAAAAGUACCAGGUAAGUUGUUAAUAAUGUCAUUUCCAAUUACGUCGUAUUAAUCAAACUCCACAUAAUGAUCCUAAGGAGUAUUCUGUAGCUAAUAUCUGUUUGACAAAACGCCGUAUUUAGUUUUUCUUAAAGACUAAGUGGUACUUUACCCCAUCGUAUACACUGAAUAAAUCGAAACGAGAUGUAGAAAGUUAGGCACUUUUGUAAUAAUGAUUUUAUAUCUUACGUUACCAUGUAAAAAAUACAGAAAUUUAACGAAGAAUCUAUUUUAAAUCAUAAAAUGUAUCUUCAAUUGUCUGAUUAGAAUUAUGGUUAAUUAAUAAAGAAAUACCUAUUAUAUGAAUUAGGGUUAAGUAGUAAAGAAAUACCUAUAUUAUGAAUUAGGGUUCAGUAGCAAUGAAAUACCUAUAUUAUGAAUUAGGGUUAAGUAGUAAAGAAAUACCUAUAUUAUGAAUUAGAGUUAAGUAGUAAAGAAAUACCUACAUUAUGAAUUAAGAUUAAGUAGUAAAGAAAUGCCUAUAUUAUGAAUUAGGUUUAAGUAGUAAAGAAAUACCUAUAUUAUGAAUUAGUGUUAAGUAGCAAAGAAAUACCUAUAUUAUGAAUUAGGGUUAAGUAGUAAAGAAAUACCUAUAUUAUGAAUUAGUGUUAAGUAGCAAAGAAAUACCUAUAUUAUGAAUUAGGGUUAAGUAGUAAAGAAAUACCUAUAUUAUGAAUUAGGGUUAAGUAGUAAAGAAAUACCUAUAUUAUGAAUUAGUGUUAAGUAGCAAAGAAAUAGCUAUAUUAUGAAUUAGGGUUAAGUAGUAAAGAAAUACCUAUAUUAUGAAUUAGUGUUAAGUAGCAAAGAAAUACCUAUAUUAUGAAUUAGGGUUAAGUAGUAAAGAAAUACCUACAUUAUGAAUUAAGGUUAAGUAGCAAAGAAAUACCUACAUUAUGAAUUAGUGUUAAGUAGUGAAGAAAUACCUAUAUUAUCCUAUAAGGAAAUCUUGUAUAAAACUUAACAGAAGUGUAAGUUUUGGGGUUUUAAUCACAUAUAGCUGGAUGAAAACUUCAAAAUGGUUUAGCAUAAAGUGUUUUAGAUUUACAUUAAUGCUGUAUAUAUACAUAUAACUUAAUGCUUCAUGUUAAGUAC